ACUCCCUAGUGACCGAUAGUGAACCAGUACCGUGAGGGAAAGGUGAAAAGCACCCCGGAAGGGGAGUGAAAUAGAUCCUGAAACCGUGUGCCUACAAGUAGUUAGAGCCCAUUAAUGGGUGAUAGCGUGCCUUUUGUAGAAUGAACCGGCGAGUUACGAUUACAUGCGAGGUUAAGUUGAAGAGACGGAGCCGCAGCGAAAGCGAGUCUGAAUAGGGCGUAAUAGUAUGUGGUCGUAGACCCGAAACCAGGUGAUCUACCCAUGUCCAGGGUGAAGUCCAGGUAACACUGGAUGGAGGCCCGAACCCACGCACGUUGAAAAGUGCGGGGAUGAGGUGUGGGUAGCGGAGAAAUUCCAAUCGAACUUGGAGAUAGCUGGUUCUCUCCGAAAUAGCUUUAGGGCUAGCCUCAAGGUAAGAGUAUUGGAGGUAGAGCACUGUUUGGACUAGGGGCCCCCAUCGGGUUACCGAAUUCAGACAAACUCCGAAUGCCAAAUACUUAUCCUUGGGAGUCAGACUGCGAGUGAUAAGAUCCGUAGUCAAGAGGGAAACAGCC
Molecule: ribosomal RNA, 554 nt
Filed under: Latilactobacillus sakei
Lineage: Bacteria; Bacillati; Bacillota; Bacilli; Lactobacillales; Lactobacillaceae
Description: Lactobacillus sakei partial 23S ribosomal RNA
Rfam family: Bacterial large subunit ribosomal RNA
Source: RNAcentral